Nothobranchius furzeri (turquoise killifish) is the source of this 1371-nucleotide long non-coding RNA. RefSeq lists it as uncharacterized. The record is from RefSeq and is a predicted model, not a curated record. Lineage: Eukaryota; Metazoa; Chordata; Actinopteri; Cyprinodontiformes; Nothobranchiidae.
UAAAUUAACUUUUUUUUUUUGCUGAUGAACUGUAUAAAUGAGUGUCUAAUAGUGUUUUAAAUGUGUGUAUUCAUUAUUUUAGCAUUUUGGUGCAUUUUCUUUAAAAAUUAAAAAUUCUGCCUAAAUACCACAGUAUAGCUCCACCUUCAGCUUAAAACAUAGAAUUUGACUCAUUUUGAAUAAAUUUUGGCCAAUGGCUAAAGAGUAAGAUACUACGUAAACCAGUAGAGUACUACGUAGCAGCUCUGUGUCAACGUUAUAAAAGCAUCGGGAGUCUCGGCCACGCCUUGUGGCGAGUUGGGAGUUGGAUUUGCAUGCGAGUGUAGGAGGUUAGCCGUAGUUCAGCAUUAGCAUAUAGCAUUAGCAUAUCCUAGUCUUUAGCAUAGCUUUUAGUGUUAUACAUACUUAUUUAGUGUUAGCUUGGCUGUUGGAUAUUGUAGUUUAGUUACUGUUUGGCUGUUAGUGUAAUUAGGAAAGUAGUUUGGGUUUAGUGCUCCAUAUCGUGUUAGCAUGGUGAGAUGGUGUAGUGUAGUAUGGUUGCGGAGCUCUGUCGGGUUGCACUCCUUUCUGCUGGACUUAGAAAUUAGGCGCCAGUGGUUGCGUGUCUGGAAAGGAUUCAGCUCCCGCCUGGUGCUGUAGUUUGCAACCAGCAUUUUACCCGCGAUUCUGCACGUCUCCGUUCCAAGAGGGAGGCUGUGCCCACCGUGGCUCUUCCGCGAUUUAGAUACAGCCCACCGACUCUGCUCCCCCACCAUGACGGGCUACAGUCUGAGGCUAAAUCUACCCAAGACACUGGCUGUCAGACUGAUUUAGUAAUCUGUAAGAAUGUACUUGUCCAGGCUGACGUGGUGUUACCCGUAGCAAAGAGCUCACAGCCUCAGUGUGUCUUGUGACACAGGGACCAUGACAGAAAUUCAUCUUCCAGAAGGUCCCAGAGCAUCCACACCUCCUGAAAAGACCAAGAUGUGAGGUGUCUGCUGUUGAUUCCAGCUUCCACCUCAGUGACAGUGCAAGCUCAGUGAACUGUUCAAGGUAAAAAAAUUAAAACAUUUCUGAAUUUUUAAGAUAUUAACAAUUAAAUAAGUAUGUGAUUACAUCAUGAAGGAGGCUACUGAUUCUGGCCCUGUGACACUUGGUGGUGACGUGUGAGCUGAUUCACCUGGACACUCAGCAAAAUAUGGACUCUACACCAUGAGGCAGGCACACGUUAAUAACUCUAUAAGAGCACAUAAGCCUGGCUGAUCACCUGAUAACUCCUGUCAUCUGGUUAUGACAGCAUGAGGAUGUCCUCACACACCUGUCAUCUGGUUAUGACAGCAUGAGGAUGUCCUCACACACCUGUAACCUAUCAGCUCAUCUGGCAGAAUAGAG